Agrilus planipennis (emerald ash borer) is the source of this 538-nucleotide long non-coding RNA. RefSeq lists it as uncharacterized. The transcript has 4 exons. The record is from RefSeq and is a predicted model, not a curated record. Lineage: Eukaryota; Metazoa; Arthropoda; Insecta; Coleoptera; Buprestidae.
GAUGUUUUAUGGAUGUUGUACAUCUUCUCAUUUUGUACUAAAAGGGAUUGCAUAUACCCAUUUUAAGAUUUUACAUUAUUACUGCUUUUCGAUUGACGAUUUUGAGUUGAGUUUGUAUUUUGAUGCUACUGAAAAAGCAAGUUGUCUGGUAUGGCGUUCUAGCUGUUAAGUUUUCAUCUUAUAGUAAUAAAGAAAGUAGCUGUACCUAUAGUCCUAAAGAAAGCAUGAAAGUGCCUGUUUUCAAUUGAGAAUGAAGACUGUCCCAUUUCAGCAGGGUGGUAGCAAGUGAAGAUUUACUUAAAUUUUACUGGAACAACAAACUUUCUUCUGUGGUCCUCCUGAAUUUGGUUUGAUUUCCACACCUACAAACAUUGGAACAUUAAAGUCUACAAUUAAUUAAGAUCGACAGUGGGGAAGACAAAGAAGACCACGUAGUUAAAAAACUCGUUUAUCUUGCAUGGCCUAUCUAAUGGAAUUACUUUUUUAAAUCCAUUUUUUUGGAAUUAGUUUUUUAUUUUGCAUAUUUUUUGUAGUCUGU